RNAcentral lists this ribosomal RNA (468 nucleotides) under uncultured bacterium. RNAcentral's name for it is "partial 16S ribosomal RNA". It matches the Rfam family "Bacterial small subunit ribosomal RNA", at positions 28 to 507 of the family's 1533-position model. The record is from RNAcentral.
GACGAACGCUGGCGGCGUGCUUAACACAUGCAAGUCGAACGGAAAGGCCCUGCUUUUGUGGGGUGCUCGAGUGGCGAACGGGUGAGUAACACGUGAGUAACCUGCCCUUGACUUUGGGAUAACUUCAGGAAACUGGGGCUAAUACCGGAUAGGAGCUCCUGCUGCAUGGUGGGGGUUGGAAAGUUUCGGCGGUUGGGGAUGGACUCGCGGCUUAUCAGCUUGUUGGUGUGGUAGUGGCUUACCAAGGCUUUGACGGGUAGCCGGCCUGAGAGGGUGACCGGCCACAUUGGGACUGAGAUACGGCCCAGACUCCUACGGGAGGCAGCAGUGGGGAAUAUGGCACAAUGGGCGGAAGCCUGAUGCAGCAACGCCGCGUGCGGGAUGACGGCCUUCGGGUUGUAAACCGCUUUCGCCUGUGACGAAGCGUGAGUGACGGUAAUGGGUAAAGAAGCACCGGCUAACUACGUG